Molecule: ribosomal RNA, 445 nt
Filed under: uncultured bacterium
Lineage: Bacteria
Description: bacterial SSU rRNA
Rfam family: Bacterial small subunit ribosomal RNA
Source: RNAcentral
GUGAGGAAUAUUGGACAAUGGGCGCAAGCCUGAUCCAGCCAUGCCGCGUGCAGGAAGAAGCAUCUAUGGUGUGUAAACUGCUUUUGUACGGGAAGAAACACUCCCUCGUGAGGGAGCUUGACGGUACCGUAAGAAUAAGGAUCGGCUAACUCCGUGCCAGCAGCCGCGGUAAUACGGAGGAUCCAAGCGUUAUCCGGAAUCAUUGGGUUUAAAGGGUCCGUAGGCGGUUUGGUAAGUCAGUGGUGAAAGCCCAUCGCUUAACGAUGGAACGGCCAUUGAUACUGCCAGACUUGAAUUACAAGGAAGUAACUAGAAUAUGUAGUGUAGCGGUGAAAUGCAUAGAUAUUACAUGGAAUACCAAUUGCGAAGGCAGGUUACUACUUGUUGAUUGACGCUGAUGGACGAAAGCGUGGGGAGCGAACAGGAUUAGAAACCCCUGUAGUCC